UGAUAUUCCUUCUUGAUGGAUAAGUUUUGGGUUGAGGAUAUUACUAGAAACUUGGAAAUAUCCUGCACAUAAACUAAUAAACAAAAAUGUUUUGUCGAUCUUUUGUUUCUACUAAAGAUAAAGAUCGUAAACAUAUAUGUCUGACUGGGAUGCUUUCAUGUUCUGGCAUGCUUUCGUUAUCUAUGAAUGGCUGGGAAUUUGGUGAAGAGAACACGGUUUCUACGUUGAAGAAAAAAGAGGUCAUUGUCAUAUGCAGUAAUGAAAAUUAAGAUUGGUGGCGAGAAUAGGGAAUAGGUGUAGUGCAGAGAAAGGUGUGGAGAAAAAGGGUGGCCCAAAAGGUGUUGUUUGGUGGUUACUGACGAUAAGGAGCUGUCCCUAUAUCUUUUUCCUGUCCAUGGUUGGUCGCAAUCCUUU
RNAcentral lists this long non-coding RNA (414 nucleotides) under Phaseolus vulgaris (common bean). Its description in RNAcentral is "long non-coding RNA (PVUL_LNC005240)". Lineage: Eukaryota; Viridiplantae; Streptophyta; Magnoliopsida; Fabales; Fabaceae. The record is from RNAcentral.